UACGAAGGACCCGAGCGUUAUCCGGAUUCAUUGGGUUUAAAGGGUGCGUAGGUGGAACGAUAAGUCAGUGGUGAAAGCCUGCGGCUUAACUGCAGAACUGCCAUUGAUACUGUCGAUCUUGAGUACAUUUGAUGUGGGCGGAAUGUGCCAUGUAGUGGUGAAAUACUUAGAUAUGGCACAGAACACCGAUCGCGAAGGCAGCUCACAAAACUGUAACUGACACUGAGGCACGAAAGCGUGGGGAUCAAACAGG
RNAcentral lists this ribosomal RNA (253 nucleotides) under uncultured bacterium. Its description in RNAcentral is "partial 16S ribosomal RNA". It matches the Rfam family "Bacterial small subunit ribosomal RNA", at positions 524 to 776 of the family's 1533-position model. The record is from RNAcentral.